This 8023-nucleotide long non-coding RNA is filed under the name Nicotiana benthamiana. RNAcentral's name for it is "long non-coding RNA (NBEN_LNC018842)". The record is from RNAcentral. Lineage: Eukaryota; Viridiplantae; Streptophyta; Magnoliopsida; Solanales; Solanaceae.
UUUUCGGCGACCUCUUUCUCCUCCUUCUUGGUCUCAUAGCUUUUCGACUGGGAACAAAUUGACUAGGAUCAGAUUCUUGUGUCCUUAAUCAAUCGAUUUUGAUGCGAUAGAUUCCAAUUUUUUUUUCUUAGAGAUUUUAUUGGGUUUCAAAAUCAUGGAAAAAUUCUAGGGUUUGAGACACAAUGAAGGCCAUGUAGAGCUUGCAACAUCUGAUUGAAGAAGUAAAAGUUCGAACGGUUUGGUGGGGUUUGUGUAUAUUUGCUCUCUGUUACUUUUUAACACGUAAGUUCAAUUUCAAUUUCUUUUUUUUUUCACAUCAUGUAUCUUCUUAGUAGGAAAAUACACUGCCCAUUAAGGUCUUUCUGGGUACUCCGCUAGUUUUCAAUUUUUGCUCAUCUAAUUUAUGAUAAUUUGAUGCAUGUGUAAUUAUAUGGGAUUACUUUCACUGUUUUGAUCACAGUAAUAACAUACGUUUUUUGGCGUUCCUUUGAUCAAUGGCCAUGAAAAAACUUUUUUCUAAUUUAGUUUAAGUUGUAUACACGUAAGCAAAGAGAUCUUUGUCGGGUGAAGAGGGUGUGGUGGACAUUUACAUGGCUGGAGGUGAUGGAGGAGAAUGGAGUAUGGAGCGACGUUGGGUUGAAAAUAAUAUUUAUUUUUUAAUCCUGUCAAAGAUUGUCACGUUGUCCAAUUAAAAAUCACCAUGUCAUUAAAUGAAAGACCCAUCAGUUUCUCCGUUAGUCGCAGGGGUAUUUUUUUUAAUAGAAUUAACUUUAUAUUUUUUUUGACCUGAUAGAUGGACGGAGUGAAUUUUUUUGGACGGAUAGGUGGACGAAGGUUAUUUAUAAACCAUUUAGCAAACGAUAAGGAAAUUUGUUGGCCCUUUGUCAAUUUUAUAUUAUACAUCUCACCUAAUUUUACAAAGACUUCAUCAACCACUCUUCACCCUGCAAAACUGCUGGAUCUCCGGCACCUCACCAUAAGUUGCCCAAAAAGCUAUAUCUUCAGCUUCUCACAUCAAAUAAAAUUCCACCAUUAAAUAUCUGCUUCACCAUCUGAGAAUCUAUUAUUCUUAAAAUGAACGUUACCCAAACAAGAUUUAACACCAUCAAUAAACAUAGAUCUAAUGUCAUCUCAAAAAUAUUAAAUGUGGUUAUUCUUCAAAAAAGAUUUAUUACUUUUUUCUCAAAUAUGAAUUGAAAGUUUGGAAAAUGGGGAGGGAAAUAAUGGGAAAUGAAUAAGGAAAGAAUGAGAAAAGUGUUAUAAAAUGAAAGCAAUUUAGUAAAACAUGACAAGAAAUAUAAGCAACUUAGUAAAACAUGAACAAGAAAUGUAGAUAGAGAGAAGGAAGAGAUUUUCUUCUUCAAUUAUAUAUUUUACUAUCUAUUACAAGGCCUUUAUAUAGGCAUAAAAAGUGAAGAAAAUAUAUCAUGGAAUAUGUCAUUCAACAUACAAAAUAUGUCAUUGAAUAUGUCAUAAACUAUUUGAGAUAAAAAUCAUGGAACAAGAAUAGACAUCUACCAUAAAUUGCUAUUUAUCAUAACAAAAAGAAAAAUGAAGGAGAACAGGAAAUGGAGAAGGCUUGUGAAAAUGGUUGGGGAAAGAAGGGGAAAGGUGAAGGGUGGAAAGAGAAAAGGAAAUGGGCGUGGGGUGGGGUGGGGUGGAAAAAAGAAGAAAGAAGUCAAAGAACUGAUAUAUUUUGUUUUAUAUUUUUUUCACUUACUUUUACUUUUUAUUUUUUAUUCUUAUUUUAAUUAUUUUUAGUCUAAUUUUUUUAGGUUUACUCUCGUAAUACGCAUGAAAAGUAUACACAUUUUAUCCAAUUCGGUCAUGAAGUUGUCACAUAUGCUUGGCUAUCUAUCAGAGAGAUCUAUCAGAGAGAUGUAAAGUAAUAUAUUUUAAAAACUACAAGUGUCUGGAUUAGAUUUUAUAGAAUAUCAGGACGGAAUAAUAAAGCAAAAUAAGUAGCAGUGUUUAUUAGGCUAUUCUACCGAUAUAUAAAUAUAAUAUAUAUAGUUAGUUGCAAAUUAUUAUAAGGUGUUUAGUAGGUAAAAAGCAUCUUGGCAGUUUCAAAUGUCGAGGGAAGAAUCCCAUGCAUCACACGGAGAAUGUAAUUCUAUUGUUUAAUGUCCUUAAGGUCCAGUACCCUCUCACAUAUAAUCUUAUUGAUUACAACAACAAAAAUACAAUAUAAUCUUAUUUAGUGGGGUCUGGAAAGGGUAGUGUACACAGAAUGCUAUUUUCAAAUAGACCCCCGGCAUUCUUCCCUCCAAAAACUUCCCAUCUUGCUCUUGGGGAGACUCGAACUCACAACCUCUCGGUUGGAAGUGGGGGUUGCUUACCAUCAGAGCAACCCCUCUUGUCUAUAAUCUGAUUGAUUAUUAUCCAAAAUUUGCUGGAAUUGAAAAAAAAGGUUAACUUCGUUGUAAAUUGUAUACGUAAUAUUUACAAAACUCGUUUGCGUUGUCUUUAAAUUUGUAAGCUAAAUUUCUUAUACUAUGUUCUGGUUUAUAAAUGUGCAUUACUCUCUAGGCAUAGUCUAUUUUUGAUAUAAUCUUUGUCAAAAUAUAAUUAUAUAGUAAGAUGCUGAAAAUAUACUUAAAGAAGCAAUUUUUUUUUGUGGUAAUUAUCAUAUUUUAUUACUAAAGUAAGAAAUUACAGCUCAAAACAAAGCAAACUCACUCUGGACAUUCUCCUAGACUUAAUAUUCAUCAAUGUAACUCAUAUUCUUCUUACUGAUUAUUUAUUCACUAUUCUAUUUUACAUUUUCAGUAUUUAUCAUCCCUUAUGGAUAAAAGUUCAGCUUUUCAAGUCUUCUUUGUAGUCUCGGUAUCGUGUAUCCCCUUCCACUUAUCAUUUGUAUAGCUUGCUUGGUCAGUAGUCCCUCUGGUUUUUUUUAGCUUGGAAAAUUUUGUAGUUCCUCUCCUGCCAUACCUGAUAUACACAACUUGCUAGUGCUAUUCUAUAGUUGGAUUUGUUCAUCAGCAUUUCUAAGCAAUUUUUUGUAGAAUCCCACCACUUCCUCCUCCGCCUCUUUGUCAUUCUGUAGCAGCUUCCCAUCCUGAGUCAUUAGGCUUUUAAUGUGGUGUGUAGAAGUCCUACUCUUCAUACAAGCAUAGAAAUAAGCACUGUUGGAAUCCCCAAGUUUCAACCAUUUUGUUAUUGACUUUUAUCUCAAAAUGCUCUCCUCAAUCGGUACCCAUUUCUCUAGCUUUCCUCUUAAUUAUUUCUCAGUAUCAAACAUGUCAGUUGGAUGAUUUGGGUCUUGCAUCUUCUCUUGUGUUUCCUGCAGUUAUUUGCUUUUUGUUUGGACCGUUUCUCUGACUUUUUUGAAUUCGUCUGUAUGCAUCUUCUUCAGCUCUAUCUUCAUUGUUGUAAGUUUUUGCCAUAUUCUUUGAUAAUGGUAGAAAUAGAAUAAGAAUACUUAGACGGCCCUAAUACUAUUUUCUCAUUUUAACUCUUCUACUUGACAUAAUAAGUAUUAAUAAAUUCUUCCACAUAAGUGUAGUCAACACUAAAAUUAUACUCACAUAAUAAAAGUGUUUUUAUCUAAAAUUUGAGUGUUACUUCGACUCUCAAUUGCCUUUUUUAAGGUUUCUUUUGUUAAGUAUUUUAUGUAGGAAAACUGUAUACUUGAAAAUUGCCUUUUUUGCUUUUAUAUUCUAAAGCAAGCAAGUAGGACCCAUAAAACGAUAAAAUAGAUCUUUCAUAUGCAGCAUUCCAUAGUGGCAUGAGAUUCUUUUCUUUUUUGCGCAAACUCCUAAAUUUUGCCCGAAUUAUCUACUCAUCUAAAUGUGCACCUAGAAAAAAUAUUAGUUACACAUUAAUCUAUUUUUAGUUUUAAUUAUUCUUCUGAGCAUGGCUAUUUCAUAUUUGAUAAUUUUUAAUUAUCCUAUAGUAUGAGAUGACCUUUAGAAGGGCUAUCUGCUUUACUAUUUUGAAACUGUCAUUCUGAGAUUAAGAAUCUAUCUAUCUUAAGGCUUGAAGGUGCUCUUCACCCCUGGACCAAGUGUAGAAAGCUCCUUAUGGUGGCCAUUUUGAAGUUUCAACGUUUUCUGCCAUAGUAGCAUUGUCUUUCUUGAUACCGAUUAAGUCGUCCAUUUUCUUUUUCCUUUGUUUCUUCUUUUAGGAUCAUUUGGUGGAGGAGGAGGUGGAGGACCUCUUGAUCUAUUAUGAUAUGCGGAUGAUGUCAGUAUGCACGAACCAACCUUCAAGGAAUGGAAAUAAAAAUAAAAAAAAAAAGGUAACCAAUUCAGUAAGCGCUAUUCUAAGAAUGCUUGAAAUAUUAAAUAUGUUUUGCAAAAUCACAUAAUAAAUCGCGUCCUAAUUUGGGGGACCUCGUUGUGCCCGAGGUAGGCCUAAGUGACACAUAGACUUUGUAGCUACCCGACUGGUCGUUUUAAGCUCUAGCAUGUCGUUCAGCGGUCUGAGGCUAUGAUUGGCUUCAUUUCACGUAUCAGAGUUAAAUUUCAAUGAAAAUUCUCAUUUCAGAAACCUUAAGUUGGAGUAAAUGGCUAAGGUUUGGAAUUUCGAGUAAACGACCUCGGAAUCAAGAUCUAAAAGUUCCAGCAGGUUUGUAUAAUAAUUUCGAACUUGGGCUUAUGCCCAGAUUGGGUUUUGGAUGACCAGGGAGCGUUUUGUCGCCUAUUGUGGAAGUUGGCAUUUUGGAAGAAAUUUCGUAAGUUUGAUUUCAAAGGCGGAUCUAGGAUUUCAGGAGGAUGUGUGCAUCGCUAUCCGGCCACCGUUUGAUUUGGUUCUCUAAAACUUACCUUGGAGAACUAUCAAUAAUAGAAUAAUUAUUUAUAGUUACACGUACCAUGCACAAUAUACUAAAAUUAAAUAACUAAUCAAAAAGAGAGUGGUAAAUGAAAAAAGAGGAAAUUUGAAAUUGAAAAGAUUCAAAAUAAUAUAAAUUUUAUUAUUUAUAGUUUUUGAAACUCAAUGAUUGAACUUAAAAAUAGAAUGAAAAAAACACAGAAAAGAAUCCAAUAAGAAUGUAAAUUUAAUUCAAGGACAAAAUGCAUGGGAAAGAGAAUAUAUAUAUAUAUAUAUAUAUUGAAUUCGUCUGUAUGCAUCUUCUUCAGCUCUAUCUUCAUUGUUGUAAGUUUUUGCCAUAUUCUUUGAUAAUGGUAGAAAUAGAAUAAGAAUACUUAGACGGCCCUAAUACUAUUUUCUCAUUUUAACUCUUCUACUUGACAUAAUAAGUAUUAAUAAAUUCUUCCACAUAAGUGUAGUCAACACUAAAAUUAUACUCACAUAAUAAAAGUGUUUUUAUCUAAAAUUUGAGUGUUACUUCGACUCUCAAUUGCCUUUUUUAAGGUUUCUUUUGUUAAGUAUUUUAUGUAGGAAAACUGUAUACUUGAAAAUUGCCUUUUUUGCUUUUAUAUUCUAAAGCAAGCAAGUAGGACCCAUAAAACGAUAAAAUAGAUCUUUCAUAUGCAGCAUUCCAUAGUGGCAUGAGAUUCUUUUCUUUUUUGCGCAAACUCCUAAAUUUUGCCCGAAUUAUCUACUCAUCUAAAUGUGCACCUAGAAAAAAUAUUAGUUACACAUUAAUCUAUUUUUAGUUUUAAUUAUUCUUCUGAGCAUGGCUAUUUCAUAUUUGAUAAUUUUUAAUUAUCCUAUAGUAUGAGAUGACCUUUAGAAGGGCUAUCUGCUUUACUAUUUUGAAACUGUCAUUCUGAGAUUAAGAAUCUAUCUAUCUUAAGGCUUGAAGGUGCUCUUCACCCCUGGACCAAGUGUAGAAAGCUCCUUAUGGUAAAUAUAAAAGAAAUAGGAAAUUGGAUAAGAGGAUUUAAGAUAUAGAAGUGGGAUUCGAACACUAGACCUAGGUAAAAUUGUGCACAAAGCUAUCACUAUACCAAAUACUCUUUUGACCAUGGGAUCCCACGCGAAAUUUUAGGUACUUUGUCCAAACAUUAUCCAUGUGAUACACAGCCUAACGAGGGGAGCAUGGGUACACGUGCCCCAUGCCCCUCCAUGUAGAUUCGCCUCAGUUUGGUUUGAAGUGCAUUUCAGUAUUAUCGAUGUCCGUUUGGAAUUUCAAGACUAGGAGUAGCUCUGUAUGAUGAUUCUGGAGUUGGGAGCGCGAUCAGAAAUGAUUUUAAAGACCUGUGGGUCAUUUUGGAGCCAUUUGGCUAAAGAAAGUAAUUUUAAGGUUUUUGAGAAGUUUAACCGGAAGUGGACUUUUUGAUAUCAGGGUUGAAAUCCAAUUCUGGAAGCUGGAAUAGGUCUGCAAUGUCAAAUAUGACUUGUAUGCAAAAUUUGAGGUCAAUCGGACAUGAUUUGAUAUGUUUAAACAACGGAAGUAGAAGUUAGAAAGUUCAAAGUUCAUAAAGCUUGAAUCGGGAUGUAAUUCAUGGCUUUAGCAUUGUUCAAUAUGAUUUGAGGCCUCGAGCAAGUCCGUAAUGUAUUUUGGGAUUGGUUGGUAGGUUUGGCUGAGGCCCGGGGGCCUCGGGUGAAUUUCGGAUGGUAAACGAAUCGAAAAUGAAUUUUUGGGAAGGCUAAGGUUUGUUGGUUGUGGUAUUUCCACUUCUGCAGAAAUGGACCCGCAGAAGCGGCUGGAGGUGAUGGGAGCUGGGACCGCAAAUGCGGUCAUUUUACCGCAGAUGCGGGACCGCACCUGCGGAGGAUGGAGCGCAGAAGCGAAAAGGGGGAGACCUAGUGAGGACCGCAGAUGCGGUAUUGGGAUCGUAGAAGCGGUUUGGGAGCCGCAGUUGCGGAAAGAUCCGGGCAGAAUGUUGUUCCAAAAUCUAAUUUUGGCCAUUUCUCAUUGUAUUUUUCUUGGCUUGGGGCGAUUCUUGGAAGAUUUUUAGAGUGGAUUUUCAUCAUCAAUGGUAAGGUAAGUUAUCCCCCACCUAUUUUGAGUUAAAUACAUAAAUUAUGUAUAGAUUUGAACUUGAAAAUUGUAGAAAAAUUUGGAGUUUGACGAAAGACCUAGAAAAGGAUUAUUCUUGGAACUUAACCAUGAUUCCGGGAAUUGAAUUAGUGAAAAUUAUAUAUUUGAGUUCUAAGGUCAUGGGUAAACUUUAUCUUCAAAAAAAUUUAGAUUUUUGCGUGGGCCCAAGGGCAUUUUUAUAAACUUUUUAAUCAGGAUUAGCAAUUGUUAUAAAUUGGAUUAUAAUUAGUAACGUAGCAUAUAUUAAUGGAUUUCUAUAACCAUUGGCUAGUUUUGGAGCGUGUGCAUCGGUUCAAGCCUUCGGAAGAAUGUAGAAUGCCGGUCAUGGGUCUUCGGAGCGAGGUGAGUCUCAUUUCUAACCUUGUGAGAAGGAAUUAUCCCCAUAGAUGAGUUAAUUGGUUAUGUGCUCCAAUCUGUAGGGGCUACGUACGCACGAGGUGGCGAGAGUCCGUGCGUAGCUACUAUUAUGCUAUUCUCCGAGUAGACUAGGACCCAAUAGCAUGCUAUACUUGGGAUAUUUGCAAUCUUAUUGACAUUUGAAUUGUUAAAAUAAAAUUGAACUAGUAAAUGAAUUUCAAAAAGGAUUAGACUUUAUUUUCUUAAAUUGUUAAAAGAGGAUUUGGUUUUUAUAUAGGAUGUUCUUCGAUAAUUCUUAGUUGACUGUUUGAGCAUGUAUUCAUGUGUGUACCUGCGUCACGUGGAUGAUUCGCGAGAAGGGUAUUUGUUUACUUUAUGUUGACCGCGUCGAAUGGAUGAUUCGCAAGCGGGGGAAAUAGAUGCAUCUAUUGGUUCGGGUGGUUCGGCCCUCGGCAGUGCACAGUUUAUAUUUUUGUUGGAUUGGGCCGUCGCCUUGGCAUGAUAUGCGCAUGUUUAUAUUGCUUACUUGAAAUAUAUGAUGUUGAUAUUGCCUUUUGGACUGACAUAAAUUGCUGGAUAAAUGGAAAGAAAUCCUAAAAAUCCUUUGUUAUUUGCUAAAGGUGUUUAUUUGUUUUGCAGCUUUAUGAACCAGAGCAUGCUAUAUAAAUCCAUGACUUUCUCACAUUUUAUUAUACUAUUACUGGACUAUUAGUAAGUGUCAAAGUUGGCCAUCUCGUCCAUACUUCUUCGAGAUUAGGCGGGAUACUCAUUGGG